RNAcentral lists this transfer RNA (77 nucleotides) under Chloroflexota bacterium. RNAcentral describes it as "Chloroflexi bacterium tRNA-Pro". The stretch from base 10 to 66 matches the Rfam family "tRNA", at positions 8 to 63 of the family's 71-position model. Rfam says of the family: Transfer RNA (tRNA) molecules are approximately 80 nucleotides in length. Their secondary structure includes four short double-helical elements and three loops (D, anti-codon, and T loops). The record is from RNAcentral. Lineage: Bacteria; Bacillati; Chloroflexota.
CCAAAUGUAUAACGCAGGGGUAGCGCGCGUCGUUCGGGACGACGAGGCCGAAGGUUCAAAUCCUUUCACUCCGACCA